GGUCUAGUGGCCUAAAGGUAAGGCGCUGCUCUCCGGAGGCAGAGAUUGUGGGUUCGAGUCCCAUCUAGACCU
Lipomyces starkeyi NRRL Y-11557 is the source of this 72-nucleotide transfer RNA. It matches the Rfam family "tRNA". Rfam says of the family: Transfer RNA (tRNA) molecules are approximately 80 nucleotides in length. The record is from Rfam. Lineage: Eukaryota; Fungi; Ascomycota; Lipomycetes; Lipomycetales; Lipomycetaceae.